This 70-nucleotide transfer RNA is filed under the name Gadomus longifilis (threadfin grenadier). Its description in RNAcentral is "tRNA-Gly". It matches the Rfam family "tRNA". From Rfam's summary of the family: Transfer RNA (tRNA) molecules are approximately 80 nucleotides in length. The record is from RNAcentral. Lineage: Eukaryota; Metazoa; Chordata; Actinopteri; Gadiformes; Macrouridae.
AUCUUUCUAGUAACAACUAGUAUAAGUGGCUUCCAACCACAUGGUCCUGGUUUAAAUCCGGGGGAAGAUA